GGCAGUGUGUUAAUGAAUCUUUGUUGAACCCUUUUCUUCUAUCAAGGACUGAAAUAUCUGAUUUAAUCUCAGUGGUGCUUAAAAUAAACUUUUGUGGCUGAGUUUACUCAAGCCCUUAUUUGAAAGCUAUUCUUAUAGGCAGGCCCAGAGCUAAAGACUGCCAGCUUGUUGGCCCACUGCUGUCUGUUCCUGGGGGCACAUUGGGAGCCGUCAUCAGGUUUCUUGACUUGGACUUCUGACUUACUACUCUCUGGACAGUCUGGAGAGUAGGUGGAUUUCAGUUCAGUUAUUUUUGAUUGCUUUGUAGCGGAAAUGGAGGAUAAAGUUUUAACUGUGGUCAAGGUUUUAAAUGGCAUCUGUGACAAAACAAUCCGAUCUACCACAGAUCCUGUGAUGAGCCAGUGUGCAUGUCUGGAGGAAGUUCACUUACCAAACAUUAAACCUGGGGAAGGCCUGGGCAUGUACAUCAAAUCAACCUAUGAUGGGUUACACGUGAUUACUGGAACCACAGAAAAUUCUCCUGCAGACAGAUCUCAGAAGAUUCAUGCUGGUGACGAAGUCAUUCAAGUUAAUCAGCAAACUGUGGUGGGAUGGCAGCUGAAAAAUUUGGUGAAGAAAUUGAGAGAGAAUCCCACCGGAGUUGUGUUACUGCUUAAGAAGCGCCCCACCGGGUCUUUCAACUUUACUCCUGCUCCCCUGAAAAACCUACGGUGGAAGCCACCUCUUGUACAGCUCUAUGCAAGAGAUAUUAUCAGUAUCACUCCUUUACAGAGGA
RNAcentral lists this small RNA (775 nucleotides) under Pan troglodytes (chimpanzee). RNAcentral describes it as "processed transcript". The record is from RNAcentral. Lineage: Eukaryota; Metazoa; Chordata; Mammalia; Primates; Hominidae.